UCUGUCAUGACCUGCCUGGUGAUCAUUACCGUGAUUUCCUGUCUGCUGAAUUCCUGUGCUGCAGUUUCCUUCUCUGGGACAUGAGGCUUUAGACUGGAAUCUAGCUGCCAGGCCUCCCUCCGUAUCCAGAGCACCUCACCAGCCCACUUAGCCCUGCCCAGGAGGAGCUGAAAGAAGGGCAGGCCCCCAAGCAGCAGCAGGACUCAGAGGCAAGAGUGGCCCCAGCCGGGCCAGAAGCAGGACUGGCAUUGCGGACUGACCUCCAGGGAGAGGCCCAGAUCCGAUCUGCAGAGAUCUCCCUUCCGGCUAUCGUGUCUGCUGUUCAGGUGGUGGAGAAGAAGAUGGAACCCCAGGCUGCCUGGCUACAGAGCCUGGAGGGAUGCACGUGGACAGCCAAGAAGAAGCUGGCUGACUGUGAGAAGGUGGCUGUGGAGUUCGGGAACCAGCUGGAGGCCAGGCCACCACCAAGCCAGAUCUGGCGCCAGUGGAGAAAGGAGACAGGGAGGCAACUGCAGCCUGCCCAGUGUGGAGAGGGGCCAGAGCCCGGGCACUGGGCCCUGGUUAAUUGUGGAGCCAACCUGGUGUGUGGCAGCCAGGUCGGGCUGGUGUCUUCAGAGUGGCUGUGUCAGAAGUGCCUCGUGUAUGACAGAAACGCAGGCCAGCUGGAACAUCCCCAGGCGUUCUGUCCUGGAUCAAGCAAGAGGAAGGGGCAAGUGGGAGGAGCCAGCAGGGCCCACAGGAGACCACUGUGGCACACCUGUGC
RNAcentral lists this small RNA (763 nucleotides) under Pan troglodytes (chimpanzee). Its description in RNAcentral is "processed transcript". The record is from RNAcentral. Lineage: Eukaryota; Metazoa; Chordata; Mammalia; Primates; Hominidae.